Molecule: ribosomal RNA, 565 nt
Filed under: Candida tropicalis
Lineage: Eukaryota; Fungi; Ascomycota; Pichiomycetes; Serinales; Debaryomycetaceae
Description: eukaryotic LSU rRNA
Rfam family: 5.8S ribosomal RNA (bases 208-361)
Source: RNAcentral
CUUGGUCAUUUAGAGGAAGUAAAAGUCGUAACAAGGUUUCCGUAGGUGAACCUGCGGAAGGAUCAUUACUGAUUUGCUUAAUUGCACCACAUGUGUUUUUUAUUGAACAAAUUUCUUUGGUGGCGGGAGCAAUCCUACCGCCAGAGGUUAUAACUAAACCAAACUUUUUGUUUACAGUCAAACUUGAUUUAUUAUUACAAUAGUCAAAACUUUCAACAACGGAUCUCUUGGUUCUCGCAUCGAUGAAGAACGCAGCGAAAUGCGAUACGUAAUAUGAAUUGCAGAUAUUCGUGAAUCAUCGAAUCUUUGAACGCACAUUGCGCCCUUUGGUAUUCCAAAGGGCAUGCCUGUUUGAGCGUCAUUUCUCCCUCAAACCCCCGGGUUUGGUGUUGAGCAAUACGCUAGGUUUGUUUGAAAGAAUUUAACGUGGAAACUUAUUUUAAGCGACUUAGGUUUAUCCAAAAACGCUUAUUUUGCUAGUGGCCACCACAAUUUAUUUCAUAACUUUGACCUCAAAUCAGGUAGGACUACCCGCUGAACUUAAGCAUAUCAAUAAGCGGAGGAA